UACAGAGGGGGCGAGCGUUGUUCGGAAUUACUGGGCGUAAAGGGCGCGUAGGCGGCCCGCUAAGUCGAACGUGAAAUCCCCAGGCUCAACCUGGGAACUGCGUCCGAUACUGGCAGGCUUGAAUCCGGGAGAGGGAUGUGGAAUUCCAGGUGUAGCGGUGAAAUGCGUAGAUAUCUGGAGGAACACCGGUGGCGAAGGCGGCAUCCUGGACCGGCAUUGACGCUGAACAGCGAAAGCCAGGGGAGCAAACGGG
This 253-nucleotide ribosomal RNA is filed under the name uncultured bacterium. RNAcentral describes it as "partial 16S ribosomal RNA". It matches the Rfam family "Bacterial small subunit ribosomal RNA", at positions 524 to 776 of the family's 1533-position model. The record is from RNAcentral.